UACGUAGGGUGCGAGCGUUGUCCGGAAUUAUUGGGCGUAAAGGGCUCGUAGGCGGUUUGUCGCGUCGGGAGUGAAAUCCACUGGCUUAACUGGUGGCUUGCUUUCGAUACGGGCAGACUGGAGGUAUGCAGGGGAGAACGGAAUUCCUGGUGUAGCGGUGAAAUGCGCAGAUAUCGAGGAAGAACAGCCCGUAGGCUAAGGCGGCUGCUCUAGUACGGUACUGACGCUGAAGACGCG
This 237-nucleotide ribosomal RNA is filed under the name uncultured bacterium. Its description in RNAcentral is "partial 16S ribosomal RNA". It matches the Rfam family "Bacterial small subunit ribosomal RNA", at positions 524 to 755 of the family's 1533-position model. The record is from RNAcentral.